This 253-nucleotide ribosomal RNA is filed under the name uncultured bacterium. RNAcentral describes it as "partial 16S ribosomal RNA". It matches the Rfam family "Bacterial small subunit ribosomal RNA", at positions 524 to 776 of the family's 1533-position model. The record is from RNAcentral.
UACGAGGGGGGCAAGCGUUGUCCGGAAUCACUGGGCGUAAAGGGCGCGUAGGCGGCGCGGAAAGUCGUCGGUGAAAGCUCGGGGCUCAACCCUGAGUCUGCCGGUGAUACUCCCGCGCUCGAGCUCACUAGAGGCAGAUGGAAUUCCGGGUGUAGCGGUGGAAUGCGUAGAGAUCCGGAAGAACACCGGUGGCGAAGGCGGUCUGCUGGGGUGAGGCUGACGCUGAUGCGCGACAGCGUGGGGAGCAAACAGG